RNAcentral lists this ribosomal RNA (459 nucleotides) under uncultured bacterium. RNAcentral's name for it is "SSU rRNA". It matches the Rfam family "Bacterial small subunit ribosomal RNA", at positions 26 to 518 of the family's 1533-position model. The record is from RNAcentral.
AGAAUCAACGCUGGCGGCGUGCCUAACACAUGCAAGUCGCACGAGAAAGGGUAGCAAUACCUGAGUACAGUGGCGCACGGGUGAGUAACACGUGAAUAAUCUACCUCCGAGUGGGGAAUAACUGAGAGAAAUCUUAGCUAAUACCGCAUAACACUUACGAGUCAAAGCAGCAAUGCGCUUGGAGAGGAGUUCGCGGCCGAUUAGUUAGUUGGCGGGGUAAUGGCCCACCAAGACGAUGAUCGGUAUCCGGCCUGAGAGGGCGCACGGACACACUGGAACUGAAACACGGUCCAGACUCCUACGGAGGCAGCAGUGGGGAAUUUUGCGCAAUGGGGGAAACCCUGACGCAGCAACGCCGCGUGGAGGAUGAAGCCCCUUGGGGUGUAAACUCCUUUCGAUCGGGAAGAUAAUGACGGUACCGAUAUAAGAAGCCCCGGCUAACUUCGCGCCAGCAGCCGC